CUAUCAUCCUACAUUCAUUUUUUAAAAUAGAGAGAAGGCUCUCAACUCUCUCACCCUCUAAACAUCCGGCCAAGGUCCGGUCACCAGACCACCGUAGCGGCCGUCGGUCGCCGGAGACUGCGCUGCAAUCCACGGUGGCCGGAGAAUGCGAAAAGGCCCAUUUCUUACCCGUUUUCAGAUGGAUUUGAGGAUCAAAUACUCCUAGCCCAAAAAUGUUUUAAAAAAAAACUUUGUCCUCUCCUUAGAACGGUUGUAACAUUGGGGAGGAGCUCUUCCGACAACGAGAAGGCCAAACGACUCCGGUGUAAGUGGAGCAGGUGUGCUGGUGGCAGACAAUAGGGGUGGCACUAGGUGGCUAAAAUUUUUUUUUUUUUGUGUGUGUUCGGGUUGAGCUAGUGUAAUGGGAUUAGGUUGGGCCAAAAUGAUUUAGACUUGUAACUGAGUAAUGGGCUAGGUUUAAUUUGGGUUUAAUUUUAUUAAGCUCGGGUAAAAUUUGGGCCUUACACAUAUUAUUGCAGCUUCUUAAAUGCAUAUGAUUAUAUAUCAUGAUAUUUGAAGGAUUGAGAUAAAAA
This is a long non-coding RNA of Gossypium arboreum, 572 nucleotides long. RefSeq lists it as uncharacterized. The transcript is spliced from 2 exons. Lineage: Eukaryota; Viridiplantae; Streptophyta; Magnoliopsida; Malvales; Malvaceae. The record is from RefSeq and is a predicted model, not a curated record.